Molecule: non-coding RNA, 22 nt
Filed under: Arabidopsis thaliana (thale cress)
Lineage: Eukaryota; Viridiplantae; Streptophyta; Magnoliopsida; Brassicales; Brassicaceae
Source: RNAcentral
UAUGAAACUGUUGAUGUUCUUG